Mycena leptocephala is the source of this 89-nucleotide non-coding RNA. The record is from the annotation of a GenBank genome assembly. NCBI's taxonomy places the organism in Eukaryota, Fungi, Basidiomycota, Agaricomycetes, Agaricales, Mycenaceae.
GCGGGUGUGGUGUAUGGUACAUGGCUGUCAUGAUUAAGUUUGCGACAAGUUUGAUGCAGCAGACUCCGGUUCGAUUCCCGGCACCCGCA